RNAcentral lists this microRNA (20 nucleotides) under Bos taurus (domestic cattle). Its description in RNAcentral is "bta-miR-2313-3p". The record is from miRBase by way of RNAcentral. Lineage: Eukaryota; Metazoa; Chordata; Mammalia; Artiodactyla; Bovidae.
CCAGUUCCACGCUGCAUGCC